GGCGCUAUCGUCUAAUGGUUAGGACACCACGCUUUCAAUGUGGGAAUCCGGGUUCGAUUCCCGGUAGCGCUACCA
This 75-nucleotide transfer RNA is filed under the name Patescibacteria group bacterium. Its description in RNAcentral is "tRNA-Glu". It matches the Rfam family "tRNA". From Rfam's summary of the family: Transfer RNA (tRNA) molecules are approximately 80 nucleotides in length. Their secondary structure includes four short double-helical elements and three loops (D, anti-codon, and T loops). The record is from RNAcentral.